RNAcentral lists this ribosomal RNA (254 nucleotides) under uncultured bacterium. RNAcentral describes it as "partial 16S ribosomal RNA". It matches the Rfam family "Bacterial small subunit ribosomal RNA", at positions 524 to 776 of the family's 1533-position model. The record is from RNAcentral.
CACGUAGGGUGCGAGCGUUGUCCGGAAUUAUUGGGCGCAAAGAGCUCGUAGGCGGUGUGUCGCGUCGGCCGUGAAAACUUGCAGCUUAACUGUGGGCGUGCGGUCGAUACGGGCAUCACUGGAGUUCGGCAGGGGAGACUGGAAUUCCUGGUGUAGCGGUGAAAUGCGCAGAUAUCAGGAGGAACACCGGUGGCGAAGGCGGGUCUCUGGGCCGAUACUGACGCUGAGGAGCGAAAGCGUGGGGAGCGAACAGG